This 492-nucleotide ribosomal RNA is filed under the name uncultured bacterium. RNAcentral's name for it is "partial 16S ribosomal RNA". It matches the Rfam family "Bacterial small subunit ribosomal RNA", at positions 29 to 507 of the family's 1533-position model. The record is from RNAcentral.
AGUGAACGCUGGCGGUAUGCCUAACACAUGCAAGUCGAACGGCAGCACAGUAAGCGCUUGCUCUUACGGGUGGCGAGUGGCGGACGGGUGAGGAAUACAUCGGAAUCUACUUUUUCGUGGGGGAUAACGUAGGGAAACUUACGCUAAUACCUCAUACGACCUACGGGUGAAAUCAGGGGUUCUUCGGACCUUGCGCGAUUGAAUUAGCCGAUGUCGGAUUAGCUAGUUGGCGGGGUAAAGGCCCACCAAGGCGACGAUCCGUAGCUGGUCUGAGAGGAUGAUCAGCCACACUGGAACUGAGACACGGUCCAGACUCCUACGGGAGGCAGCAGUGGGGAAUAUUGCACAAUGGGCGCAAGCCUGACCCAGCAAUGCCGCGUGGGUGAAGAAGGCCUUCGGGUUGUAAAGCCCUUUUGUUGGGAAAGAAAAGCAGCAGGUUAAUCCACCGCUGUUCUGACGGUACCCAAAGAAUAAGCACCGGCUAACUUCGUG